GUGGGUAUAGCUUAGUGGGUAAAGCUCUUAGUUUAUAACCAAAUGAGUAAGGGUUCAUACCUCAUUUUAAACA
This 73-nucleotide transfer RNA is filed under the name Ipomoea nil (Japanese morning glory). It matches the Rfam family "tRNA". From Rfam's summary of the family: Transfer RNA (tRNA) molecules are approximately 80 nucleotides in length. Their secondary structure includes four short double-helical elements and three loops (D, anti-codon, and T loops). The record is from Rfam by way of RNAcentral. Lineage: Eukaryota; Viridiplantae; Streptophyta; Magnoliopsida; Solanales; Convolvulaceae.